This 204-nucleotide long non-coding RNA is filed under the name Eutrema salsugineum. Its description in RNAcentral is "long non-coding RNA (ESAL_LNC001140)". Lineage: Eukaryota; Viridiplantae; Streptophyta; Magnoliopsida; Brassicales; Brassicaceae. The record is from RNAcentral.
CACGAUAUUUUACAAAAACUAACCACCUUCUCUACAGUUAUUAAACAAUUAUAUAAAGUAUUCAUUUCAAAUAACAAGAUGUUUGCUCGGAUUUAAAAUAAAUGUUUUCAUCAUCUACAUUGUCUCUGGAUUUAAAAUUUUUUUGACCUUAAGCUAAGUACUCAUCACCGCUUCCUCAGUACUUAAAGAAGGCAUACGAACACC